RNAcentral lists this ribosomal RNA (253 nucleotides) under uncultured bacterium. RNAcentral describes it as "partial 16S ribosomal RNA". It matches the Rfam family "Bacterial small subunit ribosomal RNA", at positions 524 to 776 of the family's 1533-position model. The record is from RNAcentral.
UACGAGGGGGGCGAGCGUUGUUCGGAAUUAUUGGGCGUAAAGGGUGCGUAGGCGGUUUGGUAAGUCUGAUGUGAAAUCUAUGGGCUCAACUCAUAGUCUGCAUCGGAAACUGCCGGGCUUGAGUAUGGGAGAGGUGAGUGGAAUUCCUGGUGUAGCGGUGGAAUGCGCAGAUAUCAGGAGGAACACCGGUGGCGAAGGCGGGUCUCUGGGCAGUAACUGACGCUGAGGAGCGAAAGCGUGGGGAGCGAACAGG